RNAcentral lists this non-coding RNA (120 nucleotides) under Pelotomaculum thermopropionicum. RNAcentral's name for it is "MoCo sequence". It matches the Rfam family "Molybdenum/Tungsten riboswitch aptamer (Moco RNA motif)". Lineage: Bacteria; Bacillati; Bacillota; Clostridia; Eubacteriales; Desulfotomaculaceae. RNAcentral also lists the same sequence under 1 other name. The record is from RNAcentral.
UUGAAAAGAAAUCUCCGAGCCGGGGAACCCUAAACUUAAACGGCAUGGAACCCGGCCGCCAGGGUGUGUUGGGAAACCGGCACGCCUCCCGUUGUGGAAAGGAGAGGCGAUUUUUCGGGG